RNAcentral lists this unclassified non-coding RNA (552 nucleotides) under Mus musculus (house mouse). RNAcentral's name for it is "3' external transcribed spacer". The record is from RNAcentral. Lineage: Eukaryota; Metazoa; Chordata; Mammalia; Rodentia; Muridae.
CCCGUGGCACGCCCGCUCGCUCGCACGCGACCGUGUCGUCGCCCGGGCGUCACGGGGGCGGUCGCCUCGGCCCCCGCGCGGUCGCCCGAACGACCGUGUGGUGGUUGGGGGGGGAUCGUCUUCUCCUCCGUCUCCCGAGGACGGUUCGUUUCUCUUUCCCCUUCCGUCGCUCUCCUUGGGUGUGGGAGCCUCGUGCCGUCGCGACCGCGGCCUGCCGUCGCCUGCCGCCGCAGCCCCUUGCCCUCCGGCCUUGGCAAGCCGGAGGGCGGAGGAGGGGGAUCGGCGGCGGCGGCGGCGACCCGGGCCGGUGACCGACGGUGGGAUCCCCAUCCUCGGCGCGUCCGUCGGGGACGGCCGGUUGGAGGGGCGGGAGGGGUUUUUCCCGUGAACGCCGCGUUCGGCGCCAGGCCUCUGGCGGCCGGGGGGGCGCUCUCUCCGCCCGAGCAUCCCCACUCCCGCCCCUCCUCUUCGCGCGCCGCGGCGGCGACGUGCGUACGAGGGGAGGAUGUCGCGGUGUGGAGGCGGAGAGGGUCCGGCGCGGCGCCUCUUCCA